CCUGACGAGCGGUGCGGUAGUGCUUCAUCUUUCGGCACGAUCUUUUCUCUCCGAUCAAUCUUUGGAUUCCAUUGGGUCGAUUUUUAUUCUUCCGAUACUUCAAAAGUUGUGAGAUUUCUAUUUGCCUGAGACCGAGGCAAGAUCCACAGUCCUGCAUGCCCACUAAAAUCAGCUUGAUUCAUGGAUUCAUGCAUCUUUCUCGAUUUCAUUGCUCUGUUUGUGUUAAAAGUAACAUUUUGUAUGAUCUUUAUGCUCGGACCCUUCAGAUAACAGCAAUGAUUAACCUUUGAGUCUCAGCUAUUUGGGAUCUAUUUUUGGUUGAUACACAGGUUUAAUAACAACAUUAAUAUAAAAUCUUAAAUUCUGUCCCAACAAGAGCUUGUGUUCAUAAUAAUGAUAUUCAUUUGUUUAUCCUAAUAAGAUUUUAGGCAUUGUUGAUUUGACUUAGCCGUUCAUUGACACCACUAAGCAAGAUUUGUGUAAUGCCACUAAUUGAUGAACAAAUUACUCGAAGCUAUGGAGUAAUCUCCACAUGAAAGCUCUGUCAUAGUUACUCUGAUAGUGUCUUGUUCUUUCUGCUCUGUUGUUCAGGAAAUAUAUCUGGAAUUUUAGCUGUUGUUUUGUUCAUACUUCCUUUUAGGUCAUCUAUUCAUACUCCAGAUAACAACAAUGAGUAACCCCUGAGUCUCAAUUAUUGGAAUGUAUUUUUGCUUGCUACAUAAUCACUGCAUUAAUAUAAAAUCAUAAUUUUGUCUCAACAAGAGGUUGUACUCAUAAUAGUGAUUUUCAUUUAUUUUUUCUAGGCAUUGUUGAUUUGGUUUAGCCUUUCAUUGUCACUUGGAACCUGAGAUUGCACAGUAGGCAAGAUUUGUGUGAUGACACUAAUUGAUGAAUAAUUACUCAAAGCUAUGGAUCAAUCUCCACAUGAAAGCUCUUUGUCAUAGUUACUCUGAUAGUGUCUUAUCUCUUCUGCUCUGUUGCUCAGGAAAUCUGUUUGGAAUUUUAACUUUUGUUUUGUUCAUGCUCCUUUUUAGGUUAUCUGUUCUUUUUGAUGAGAUAGAUCAAGCUAGUGAUUCAUUUGUCAUCUUUACAGCAGAUCAGUUCCAUGUACUGAUACUGCAUCUGAGGAUGACAACAGUUACUACAACCCUUUUCCAUGCUUCCAUUAGUAAUAGAAUAAAUGGCAUUCUAUUGCUUGCUGUGUUAAGGGCUUACAUUUUUACAACAUUUCUUUUGUUCUUGUACACAGAAGCCCCAAAACUCUAAAUCCAAUGCAGGGGCUUCUUGUUCAUUUACCAAGUAAGAGGAAGGUUGCCUCAGCCAGGACAUGAGUUUUCUUCACCAAUCCCACAGUUCGUAUGCACCACUCAGGUUUUUACCGCAGAAGGUUAUCUCAUUAGGAGUAGCAUCAAGGGACAAGCAAGAUCAAGAACAUCAAAUAAUUUAGCAAUACAUAAACCAAAAAGAAGCCUUUAUCUAGGUUGCAUCACUUUCUGUGGCAGUGGUGGUAAUUGAAUUUUGCCGUGCCUGAUGGCAGGAAGCUCUUGGCUUCACAAAAGCAUGUAACUUUGUAUGUCUCAUGGUGCUUUGUGUUUAUAUGGAGUAACUAAUCAUCUAUGCACUUGUCUACA
This is a long non-coding RNA of Zingiber officinale, 1631 nucleotides long. RefSeq lists it as uncharacterized. Lineage: Eukaryota; Viridiplantae; Streptophyta; Magnoliopsida; Zingiberales; Zingiberaceae. The record is from RefSeq and is a predicted model, not a curated record. The transcript is spliced from 2 exons.